AUAUUGGUCAAUGGGCGAGAGCCUGAUGCAGCGACGCCGCGUGAGUGAAGAAGUAUUUCGGUAUGUAAAGCUCUAUCAGCAGGGAAGAGAAUGACGGUACCUGAGUAAGAAGCCCCGGCUAACUACGUGCCAGCAGCCGCGGUAAUACGUAGGGGGCAAGCGUUAUCCGGAUUUACUGGGUGUAAAGGGAGCGUAGACGGCAAAGCAAGUCUGAAGUGAAAGCCCGGGGCUCAACCCCGGGACUGCUUUGGAAACUGUUUUGCUAGAGUGCUGGAGAGGUAAGCGGAAUUCCUAGUGUAGCGGUGAAAUGCGUAGAUAUUAGGAGGAACACCAGUGGCGAAGGCGGCUUACUGGACAGUAACUGACGUUGAGGCUCGAAAGCGUGGGGAGCAAACAG
RNAcentral lists this ribosomal RNA (397 nucleotides) under uncultured bacterium. Its description in RNAcentral is "bacterial SSU rRNA". It matches the Rfam family "Bacterial small subunit ribosomal RNA", at positions 361 to 775 of the family's 1533-position model. The record is from RNAcentral.